This 107-nucleotide ribosomal RNA is filed under the name Hucho hucho (huchen). The record is from RNAcentral. Lineage: Eukaryota; Metazoa; Chordata; Actinopteri; Salmoniformes; Salmonidae.
CCUGGGCCAUACCAUCCUGAACACGCCUGAUCUCGGUAGCUAAGCAGGGUCGGGCCUGGUUGGUACUUGGAUGGAGGACCACCUGGUAAUAUCAGGUGCUGUAAGCU